Salvia miltiorrhiza (redroot sage) is the source of this 718-nucleotide long non-coding RNA. RefSeq lists it as uncharacterized. Lineage: Eukaryota; Viridiplantae; Streptophyta; Magnoliopsida; Lamiales; Lamiaceae. The record is from RefSeq and is a predicted model, not a curated record. The transcript has 2 exons.
GAAUUUUGAUUUAUCUCCAAGCUUUAACCUAAUAACCGGACCUGCUGAAGCUGGUCUACCGUUGCUGUGGCUGCGGGGUUGGCUUCGAUUCGGAAGUAAAUUGAAUUCUUGAAGAGCUGUGGCAUACCUAUGGAGUGCAUACAGAUGGCCCUCUGUGGCAGUUUCCUUAUGAAGACAUAAGUUGUGAGGAAAGCUGCAGAUGAGGUGAAAGAAAUGGGGCUCAAUUCAAGCUUCCAAUUUUUCAUGUAUCCUAUUGCUAUAUUGAGCAAAUGGCCCUCUGAAUUUGGGGUUUUCGGGGACCCGAGUGACAUGUUGAGCCUGUGUUGGAGGCUCUGCUUGCAACUGGGAAGUUCGAUACUCAGGCAUUGCUUCCCAGGAUCACUCAUGUGCAAGCUUCGAGAAGAGGUACGAUAUGAGCCACGGCUGAGACUUUUAAGAAUUCUUGAAGUAGGAACUCCAUUGAAAAUUGGCCUUCGCUUUGAACAAUAAGCAGAUUUUAAGAUGAUGAGUUAUUUGAGGGAUUUACCAUGCUUAUUUACAUAUGUACAACCUUUUGGCUUUUCAGGGUAUUUUAUUUUAUCAUUUCUGCCUAAUGUUAUUUUGACGAUUAUGAUGCCUUGUUUGACAUGAUUAAAAUCUAGGUUUGUAAUAGAAUUCUGAAUCUUUUGUUUGAAUGUAGAAUAUGCUAGAAUGUUAACAUGCUUUCUUCACUAUCCAA